CAGCAGCAGCCGCGGGAAUACAGAGGGUGCGAGCGUUAAUCGGAUUUACUGGGCGUAAAGCGUGCGUAGGCGGCUUUUUAAGUCGGAUGUGAAAUCCCUGAGCUUAACUUAGGAAUUGCAUUCGAUACUGGGAAGCUAGAGUAUGGGAGAGGAUGGUAGAAUUCCAGGUGUAGCGGUGAAAUGCGUAGAGAUCUGGAGGAAUACCGAUGGCGAAGGCAGCCAUCUGGCCUAAUACUGACGCUGAGGUACGAAAGCAUGGGGAGCAAACAGGAUUAGAGACCCCAGUAGUCCCUGUCUCUUAUAA
Molecule: ribosomal RNA, 304 nt
Filed under: uncultured bacterium
Lineage: Bacteria
Description: partial 16S ribosomal RNA
Rfam family: Bacterial small subunit ribosomal RNA
Source: RNAcentral